AAGACCUUGCGCUUUUGGAGCGGCCGAUGUCUGAUUAGCUUGUUGGUAAGGUAAAAGCUUACCAAGGCUUCGAUCAGUAGCUGGUCUGAGAGGACGACCAGCCACACUGGGACUGAGACACGGCCCAGACUCCUACGGGAGGCAGCAGUGGGGAAUUUUGGACAAUGGGGGCAACCCUGAUCCAGCCAUGCCGCGUGAGUGAAGAAGGCCUUCGGGUUGUAAAGCUCUUUCAGCCGGAACGAAACGGUUACGGUUAAUACCCGUGACUACUGACGGUACCGGAAGAAGAAGCACCGGCUAACUACGUGCCAGCAGCCGCGGUAAUACGUAGGGUGCAAGCGUUAAUCGGAAUUACUGGGCGUAAAGCGUGCGCAGGUGGUUUUGUAAGUCAGAUGUGAAAWCCCCGGGCUUAACCUGGGAACU
This 423-nucleotide ribosomal RNA is filed under the name uncultured bacterium. RNAcentral describes it as "bacterial SSU rRNA". It matches the Rfam family "Bacterial small subunit ribosomal RNA", at positions 207 to 622 of the family's 1533-position model. The record is from RNAcentral.